This is a non-coding RNA of Gossypium raimondii (Peruvian cotton), 145 nucleotides long. The record is from Rfam. Lineage: Eukaryota; Viridiplantae; Streptophyta; Magnoliopsida; Malvales; Malvaceae.
UGUUGAAAUUUUUAUCUAUUUUUACUAUUAAAAACUGGCAUAGGUGAUAGGAUAAUCAUAUAAUUACAUGUGGCAUGCCACAUGUAACUUAUUAUGACGUACAACGACUAAUUUUUAACUAUAGAAAUAAAUAAAAUUUUUAUCG